GACGAACGCUGGCGGCGUGCUUAACACAUGCAAGUCGAACGCUGAAGCUUAGUGCUUGCACUGGGUGGAUGAGUGGCGAACGGGUGAGUAAUACGUGAGUAACCUGCCCUUGACUCUGGGAUAAGCCUGGGAAACUGGGUCUAAUACUGGAUAUGACAUGCCACUGCAUGGUGGUGUGUGGAAAGGGUUUUACUGGUUUUGGAUGGGCUCACGGCCUAUCAGCUUGUUGGUGGGGUAAUGGCCUACCAAGGCGACGACGGGUAGCCGGCCUGAGAGGGUGACCGGCCACACUGGGACUGAGACACGGCCCAGACUCCUACGGGAGGCAGCAGUGGGGAAUAUUGCACAAUGGGCGGAAGCCUGAUGCAGCGACGCCGCGUGAGGGAUGACGGCCUUCGGGUUGUAAACCUCUUUCAGCACGGAAGAAGCGAGAGUGACGGUACGUGCAGAAGAAGCGCCGGCUAACUACGUG
Molecule: ribosomal RNA, 472 nt
Filed under: uncultured bacterium
Lineage: Bacteria
Description: partial 16S ribosomal RNA
Rfam family: Bacterial small subunit ribosomal RNA
Source: RNAcentral